This 930-nucleotide long non-coding RNA is filed under the name Sinocyclocheilus anshuiensis. RNAcentral's name for it is "lncRNA (ENSSANG00000025577.1)". The record is from RNAcentral. Lineage: Eukaryota; Metazoa; Chordata; Actinopteri; Cypriniformes; Cyprinidae.
CUGCAGUUCAUCCCUGGAAGCUUCCGUGGCUCAGCGAUUGGUAGAAAGAUUCAAUGCAUUUUUAAUGCUGCAGGUCUCAGCAGCACCACCCGUUCUGCAACCACAGGCACUUUUGUCUUCCUUGUAACAGGCAGCAUAUCAAAUGGUCAGUGCAACACUUUGAUCAAGUAACUGACAUAUAUUUUGUUGUGAAACAGAAGUAAACCAUUGUCUUCCCUCUACUCAUUCUUCCAGGUUCUCUGGAUUCUCCAGUCAGUAGACUGACCACAAAUGGGUCAGUGGACUUAAGCAACCCUAACAGCACAGACGUUUCAGUAAUAACACCUAGUACAAAUGCCACUGCAUCUAAUACCACAGCAACAUCAACCACCACUGCGGCUUCUACGAACUUGACCCAGACGCAUCCUCCUAACAUGACCACCAACGUGACCCAAAUGGGUCACCUCAACAUGACCACCAACCUGACCCAGACACACCCUCCCAACAUAACCACCAACCUGACCCAAACACACCCUCCCAACAUAACCGCUAACCUGGCCCAGACACGCCCUCCCAACAUAACUGCCAACCAGACCCAGACAAGCCCUCCCAACAUAACUGCUAACCUGCCCCAAACACACCCUGCCAACAUCACAAACUUGACCCAGACACGGCCUCCCAAUAUUACCACAAACCCGACCCAGACAGGCCCACUCACUGUAUCAAACAUUAGAACAACAUCAGGCUCUAAUACUCAGUCACCAGACAUCACUGGCAGGGAUAACUGCAGGAGGGAUAGGGCAUGUUUCUCCGCUCCACCUACCUGUAAUCCAGGUGCAGAGGGUUCCUGCUAUUUUCUCUCCACAAGAGGAGUAAGCGGAAAUGCAGAUAAUUUUACUUUUGAGCUCAGUGGCGAGACAGAUGGUUACAUUGGAGCUGGCCUCUCUCGAG